This 253-nucleotide ribosomal RNA is filed under the name uncultured bacterium. RNAcentral's name for it is "partial 16S ribosomal RNA". It matches the Rfam family "Bacterial small subunit ribosomal RNA", at positions 524 to 776 of the family's 1533-position model. The record is from RNAcentral.
UACGAAGGGUGCGAGCGUUAUUCGGAAUUAUUGGGCGUAAAGGGUGCGCAGGCGGUGCGCUAAGUCAACUGUUAAAUCUCCCAGCCUAACUGGGAAUCAGCGGUAGAUACUGGUGCGCUAGAGGGUGGAAGAGAGAAGUGGAAUUCUUGGAGUAGCGGUAAAAUGCGUAGAUCUCAAGAGGAACACCGAUGGCGAAGGCAGCUUCUUGGUCCACAUCUGACGCUCAAGCACGAAAGCGUGGGGAGCAAACAGG